GUCUGGCGGCGAGUGGCGAACGGGUGAGUAAUGUAUCGGAACGUGCCCAGUAGCGGGGGAUAACUACUCGAAAGAGUAGCUAAUACCGCAUACGCCCUACGGGGGAAAGGGGGGGAUCGCAAGACCUCUCACUAUUGGAGCGGCCGAUAUCGGAUUAGCUAGUUGGUGAGGUAAAGGCUCACCAAGGCGACGAUCCGUAGCUGGUUUGAGAGGACGACCAGCCACACUGGGACUGAGACACGGCCCAGACUCCUACGGGAGGCAGCAGUGGGGAAUUUUGGACAAUGGGGGCAACCCUGAUCCAGCCAUCCCGCGUGUGCGAUGAAGGCCUUCGGGUUGUAAAGCACUUUUGGCAGGAAAGAAAUCGCAUGGAUUAAUACUCUGUGUGGAUGACGGUACCUGCAGAAUAAGCACCGGCUAACUACGUGCCAGCAGCCGCGGUAAUACGUAGGGUGCAAGCGUUAAUCGGAAUUACUGGGCGUAAAGCGCGCGCAGGCGGUUCGGAAAGAAAGAUGUGAAAUCCCAGGGCUUAGCCUUGGAACUGCAUUUUUAACUCCCGAGCUAGAGUGCGUCAGAGGGGGGUGGAAUUCCGCGUGUAGCAGUGAAAUGCGUAGAUAUGCGGAGGAACACCGAUGGCGAAGGCAGCCCCCUGGGAUGACACUGACGCUCAUGCACGAAAGCGUGGGGAGCAAACAGGAUU
Molecule: ribosomal RNA, 700 nt
Filed under: uncultured beta proteobacterium
Lineage: Bacteria; Pseudomonadati; Pseudomonadota; Betaproteobacteria
Description: bacterial SSU rRNA
Rfam family: Bacterial small subunit ribosomal RNA
Source: RNAcentral